GAGGGCAUAGCCUAGUGGUAGAGUGCAUGCCUAGCAUGCACAAGGUCCUGGGUUCAAUCCCCAGCACCUCCA
This 72-nucleotide transfer RNA is filed under the name Camelus bactrianus (Bactrian camel). It matches the Rfam family "tRNA". From Rfam's summary of the family: Transfer RNA (tRNA) molecules are approximately 80 nucleotides in length. Their secondary structure includes four short double-helical elements and three loops (D, anti-codon, and T loops). Further hydrogen bonds mediate the characteristic L-shaped molecular structure. tRNAs have two regions of fundamental functional importance: the anti-codon, which is responsible for specific mRNA codon recognition, and the 3' end, to which the tRNAs corresponding amino acid is attached (by aminoacyl-tRNA synthetases). tRNAs cope with the degeneracy of the genetic code in two manners: having more than one tRNA (with a specific anti-codon) for a particular amino acid; and 'wobble' base-pairing, i.e. permitting non-standard base-pairing at the 3rd anti-codon position. Lineage: Eukaryota; Metazoa; Chordata; Mammalia; Artiodactyla; Camelidae. RNAcentral also lists the same sequence under 2 other names. The record is from Rfam by way of RNAcentral.